ACUGUGGCUUAGUGGUAAAGCACUUCAUUGGUAAUGAAGAGAGCGGGGGUCCGAUUCCCCUCAGU
This 65-nucleotide transfer RNA is filed under the name uncultured Lachnospira sp. It matches the Rfam family "tRNA". Rfam says of the family: Transfer RNA (tRNA) molecules are approximately 80 nucleotides in length. Their secondary structure includes four short double-helical elements and three loops (D, anti-codon, and T loops). Further hydrogen bonds mediate the characteristic L-shaped molecular structure. tRNAs have two regions of fundamental functional importance: the anti-codon, which is responsible for specific mRNA codon recognition, and the 3' end, to which the tRNAs corresponding amino acid is attached (by aminoacyl-tRNA synthetases). tRNAs cope with the degeneracy of the genetic code in two manners: having more than one tRNA (with a specific anti-codon) for a particular amino acid; and 'wobble' base-pairing, i.e. permitting non-standard base-pairing at the 3rd anti-codon position. Lineage: Bacteria; Bacillati; Bacillota; Clostridia; Lachnospirales; Lachnospiraceae. The record is from RNAcentral.